This 462-nucleotide ribosomal RNA is filed under the name uncultured bacterium. RNAcentral describes it as "bacterial SSU rRNA". It matches the Rfam family "Bacterial small subunit ribosomal RNA", at positions 34 to 507 of the family's 1533-position model. The record is from RNAcentral.
CGCUGGCGGCGCGCCUAACACAUGCAAGUCGAACGAGAGAUGAGGAGCUUGCUCUUCAAAUCGAGUGGCGAACGGGUGAGUAACGCGUGAGGAACCUGCCUCAAAGAGGGGGACAACAGUUGGAAACGACUGCUAAUACCGCAUAAGCCCACGGCUCGGCAUCGAGCAGAGGGAAAAGGAGUGAUCCGCUUUGAGAUGGCCUCGCGUCCGAUUAGCUAGUUGGUGAGGUAACGGCCCACCAAGGCAACGAUCGGUAGCCGGACUGAGAGGGUGACCGGCCACAUUGGGACUGAGACACGGCCCAAACUCCUACGGGAGGCAGCAGUGGGGAAUAUUGCACAAUGGGGGAAACCCUGAUGCAGCGACGCCGCGUGAGCGAAGAAGUAUUUCGGUAUGUAAAGCUCUAUCAGCAGGGAAGAAGAAAUGACGGUACCUGACUAAGAAGCACCGGCUAAAUACGUG